RNAcentral lists this unclassified non-coding RNA (193 nucleotides) under Glomus sp. Its description in RNAcentral is "partial contains 5.8S ribosomal RNA and internal transcribed spacer 2". The stretch from base 1 to 65 matches the Rfam family "5.8S ribosomal RNA", at positions 84 to 154 of the family's 154-position model. The record is from RNAcentral. Lineage: Eukaryota; Fungi; Glomeromycota; Glomeromycetes; Glomerales; Glomeraceae.
GUGAAUCAUCAAAUUUUUGAACGCAAAUUGCACUCUCUGCGGAGAGUAUGCGUGUUUGAGGGUGAGCCUAAAAAAAAAUCGACAUAGUCGCUGUUUCGCGGUGACAUUCGUCGGAAAUUGGGUCGUCUUAUACCUUUGGGUUUUAAUUGGCUUAAAAUUAUCUUUACGAUUCUACGAACGUUUUUAAGAUUUA